RNAcentral lists this non-coding RNA (86 nucleotides) under Methylocucumis oryzae. The record is from RNAcentral. Lineage: Bacteria; Pseudomonadati; Pseudomonadota; Gammaproteobacteria; Methylococcales; Methylococcaceae.
GAUUAUGGUGGGUGGCGUUUGGGAGGCCGAAAGGCCUGCCGGUUCCAGAACCCGGUCUGCUAACCCGAACGUCAUCCAUCGCCCGU